UCUAAGCGAUUGAACAUUUAUAUUUUUUUUGCAAACAAUAUCAAGAUCAGAGGUUUUGUUAUCAUCAUCUACAUUCUCUGAUUUAUGUAGUGUCUAUGAACGUUAAUCAUGUCUUGGACAUUUAUCAAACUUACUGAUUUUUGUUUAUUUUGAUUUUCAUGUGAAUCCCUAAAUCUUGGAUAACAAUCGGACUCCGAUCAUUCAACAAGCAACAGAGUUCGUCGACCAAAACAGUUAUGGAUCCUAAAAACAAUGCUCCAAUCGUUUUUAAAGUUGAUUGAUGACUAUCAUCCUAUAUUUUUGGAAAUACCGUAUGAUGAGCCAGCUUAUUGUGGGAAGGAAAAGUUCCAUAUGCUCAAUGUAUUGAACUUAUUGAUGAUGACUUAUGCAACUGCAGGAGUCUGAAUCUUCUUCGAACACAAGAGGAAAUACCGUAUAAUGAGCGACCUUAUUGUGGGAAAGAAAAGUUCCAUAUGGCCAAUGUCUUGAAAUUAUUGAUGAUGAAUUAUGCAACUGCAGGAGUCUGAAUCUUCUUCGAACACAAG
This is a long non-coding RNA of Helianthus annuus (common sunflower), 545 nucleotides long. RefSeq lists it as uncharacterized. The record is from RefSeq and is a predicted model, not a curated record. The transcript has 5 exons. NCBI's taxonomy places the organism in Eukaryota, Viridiplantae, Streptophyta, Magnoliopsida, Asterales, Asteraceae.